GUUUCUGGUUGGAGAUCCUUUCUUUGUGGAGUUUCCCUUGCGAGCCUACGUCUUCAGAGAUGGUAUAAAUGGAUCAUGAAUAAUUUCAAAGAGCAAGAUCUGAGACUCUGUCCAAUUUCCUCGAAUUAAUAACUGACUGUAGGAUAUGACCAAGCAAUUUGGAACCUGACAGCAGAGUGAGCUGAGAAUAACUGUAACCAGCCCACUCUGCUGCAAAAUAUUGCAUUGGUGCUAGAAUAGCUUCUGCAGAAACAAGGUCACACAGAGAGAAACAUAUUCUCUCUACAAUGAUUAGAAGGAUUUCCUUCAAGGUGGAUGAAGCACCAGUAUAAGUGGAGCAGCAUGCAGUUACAGAAGAACAUGACUGCUGAUGUCCCCAUGUAUUUUCAACACCAAUAAGCCAAUGUCUCCCUUUUUAUCAGGCUUCUGAUCUGUAAAAAUACUGAGGACUGUGCAAUUCUAUUGAAGUGCAUUCACUUUUAUCAGCUCGUUCCAUUCAUCUCCUUGCAAGAAGACAGGUGUUGUGGUUUAACCUGGCAUCACAUAGUUGUUCACUCAUUCUCCCCCUUCCUAGUGGGCUGAAUGAGAGAAUGGGGGAAAGAGAAGUAGAACUUGUGGAUUGAGAUAAAAGCUAUUUACUAAGAUACAGAAAAGGAUCAUAGUUAUGACUGUGUGUAUGUGUGUGUAGUUGUCACUAUCCUGGAUUUAACCAAAAGGGCAGUGCAAUAAUCUUUAUUGUACAGCAUUUUUAAAUAAAACACAGCUACAUUUUUCCCCAGUCUCUGUUCAUUUCUGCAGUUGAAAAGUAUGAAAUGCCAUAAAAACUGCCUGCAGAGAUUGUGGAAAGUAUAAACAAUCUUCUUUCGUAAGAGCAAGCUGGAUUUACAAAACCUGCAGCACCCACUGUUUAUUGAGUGGUGUGACAAGCCAGAUCAAUCCUGUUACUCUUGUUGUAAGAGAGGGUUUUUUUAAUCCUUGUAUAGAACAUUCUCCUAUUUCUGCAAACCAAAGUUCUUGCUGACUCUCAAACCAAAUUGUUUAUGCCUUUUGAGUCACUGCAUAAUAAAUCCCUUCUGUUGUUCAU
Molecule: long non-coding RNA, 1084 nt
Filed under: Gallus gallus (chicken)
Lineage: Eukaryota; Metazoa; Chordata; Aves; Galliformes; Phasianidae
Description: lncRNA (ENSGALG00010019394.1)
Source: RNAcentral